AGGUACGAUCAUACCAGCACUAAUGCACCAGAUCCCAUCAGAACUCCGCAGAUAAGCGUGCUUGGGCGAGAAUAGUUCUAAGAUGGGCUUGUCUUAUGACUU
RNAcentral lists this ribosomal RNA (102 nucleotides) under Cephalotus follicularis. Lineage: Eukaryota; Viridiplantae; Streptophyta; Magnoliopsida; Oxalidales; Cephalotaceae. The record is from RNAcentral.